RNAcentral lists this long non-coding RNA (212 nucleotides) under Trifolium pratense (red clover). RNAcentral's name for it is "long non-coding RNA (TPRA_LNC007549)". Lineage: Eukaryota; Viridiplantae; Streptophyta; Magnoliopsida; Fabales; Fabaceae. The record is from RNAcentral.
UUUUUUUUUUUUAUGGAAGAUUAAUCUCUCCCAUUAUUUUGAGGAAGAUGUAUAAGCCGUUAAUUACAUCCUUCGAUGUAAAUAUGUUGUUAGCUUUGUGUUUUCAUUUUGGUUUGAUUGUUUUCAAUUACUUCCUCCGAUCCUUUUUAUAAGGAACACUUAGGGCAAAAAAUUUGGUCUUUUUUAUAAGAAAUUUUGACCAAUAUUCAAAU